RNAcentral lists this long non-coding RNA (762 nucleotides) under Ananas comosus (pineapple). RNAcentral describes it as "long non-coding RNA (ACOM_LNC029820)". The record is from RNAcentral. Lineage: Eukaryota; Viridiplantae; Streptophyta; Magnoliopsida; Poales; Bromeliaceae.
UAUUUCACAUUUUUAUAAAACUAUUCUUAGGCGUUUUUCUAUCUGAGCUGUCACCGACACUUCUACAUCUAUCAACACACCAUCGUACAUAUCUAUCUGAUUCCCAUUAUAUGUGUGAAAGAGAGGCCAAACAUUUGGUAACUCUAAGAUAAGAACUUCGCUGGUGUUUGUACAUCUUAUAAACCUUUUCAACUAUUGACUUCAAAAGAUUUCCGUUUCACAUUUUUUUUAGACUAUUUCCAAACCCUUUUAUAUUCAAACAACAAAUGACAUUAUUUACAUUUUGUUAAAAUAUUCUCAAAUACUUUUCUAUCUGAUCAAUCACCAUUGCUUGUUUCUCUAUCAACACACUACCGUACGUAUCUAUUUGAUCCCCAUUAUGAUAUAUAUGAAAGAGCGUUAAGAUAAUUCCCAAACCAUCUUCCUAACAUGGAACUUUUGCGUUGAAACAUUUUUCACGUAAUAGUUUUCAAGCAAAAUGAAUAGAGAUCCCCCUCAAUUAACUGUAGGUCAUUCUGAAAUGGCACUCACAAUUUUAACUUUCUUGAUUGAUGUUGUUCUAACUAACUUUCAAUAUUUUUUUAUUUCAACCGAUCAUAUCUAGCACAGUUGGCUAAAGACUUCAAUGGUUGGUAUCCGAGAUCUAAAUUCGAACCCUAGUUAUUUCACAUUAUUAGCUGAGUCUAUUUAUAAAGAAUGGAGGAAGCGUGUACCUAACACGCCAUCUUACUCUCAAAAAAAAAAAAAUUAAAAAAUUUUCAU